AUUCCACAUGCUCUCUAACAAAGUUAAUCGGCUGUACAGCAUAUUCCUCAUGCUGCCAGUAAGAUCCAAGCAGCCCCCCCCCCAAAAAAGUUUACUAACCAUAAUAUUUAUUGUAGAGUCUAUAUUUUAAAACAUUAGAAACACUGAAAAAAUGCUUUGUAUACUUUAAUUCUCGGUGUUUAUAAGUUACAGUGUGCUAAAUAAAUGUUAUCCCUAUAAACC
This 222-nucleotide long non-coding RNA is filed under the name Bos taurus (domestic cattle). Its description in RNAcentral is "long non-coding RNA NONBTAT021500". Lineage: Eukaryota; Metazoa; Chordata; Mammalia; Artiodactyla; Bovidae. The record is from RNAcentral.